UGACAGGAUUCUCCUGACGGGCUGCUCAA
Molecule: non-coding RNA, 29 nt
Filed under: Mus musculus (house mouse)
Lineage: Eukaryota; Metazoa; Chordata; Mammalia; Rodentia; Muridae
Source: RNAcentral